AUGACGGCCGAUCCGACCAGCCGAGACGAUCCCUUGGCCUUGCCGGAGAAGAAGAAGAAGGUGAGUGUGCGGAGAGACGAGGCAUCAUUGCCUGAUCCAGACGCGUGGAUUCUCAGCGAUGCCGACUUGGCCAGGAUGGAACGCGACCAGAAAUCAGCUCCACCGCCUGUGAAAAUCCCUACGCUCGAUUACUUCAAACCCCCGACCCGGUUUCACACCGCCGAGGUCUUCGCCGUCCGUGAUUCAAGCGAGGCCGCGCUCUCUGCUGCCAGAUUUCUCCUAGGGGUUUCAUCCUCUCUUGAUGGUGAACCGCUGAGACGCUGCUCCGGCUUCUUGGUUGAUUGGGAUGAGGAGAAGAAAGCCGGCCUUGUUUUGACAACUGCGCGUCUGAUUCGCACAAAGCAUUCUCCUGACAGCGGCUGGUCAGGUGGCGAAGAGUAUGCUCCUCGUGCUGAUGUCACUGUUCAUUUGCUAAAUGGCACCACUGCAAAGGGCGAUCUGGUCUACUAUCAGCCCCAUUACGGUAUCACUUUCUUGAAUGUUGAAGUGGAUCAACCAAUCAAGUUACCAUCUUUUUGUGAAGAAGAUGUAAAAUUUGCUCAAGAUGUUUUUCGGCUCGGAAGAGACGAUUCCUUAAAUCUAAGGAUAACAUAUGCUAGGGCAGAAUAUAAGAAUCCAAACAUGUAUCGGCGGUACCACAAUGUGUAUUUCCGUUCUCCAGACGAGCAUGGUGAUGAUAAUGAGUAUGACAAUGGGGGCCUAGUCAUUGACUUGAAUGAAAACGUUGUCGGAAUGGUCAACGUCCCUAAGAGAUUUGGGUCUUUUAUACCUUCUUCCAUUUUGCUCAACUGUUUGGAUUCAUGGAAGAAAUAUCGGAUAUCGGUAACUGGUAGCAUAUGGUUGGGUGUUGAGUAG
RNAcentral lists this ribosomal RNA (915 nucleotides) under Triticum aestivum (bread wheat). RNAcentral's name for it is "partial small subunit ribosomal RNA". The record is from RNAcentral. Lineage: Eukaryota; Viridiplantae; Streptophyta; Magnoliopsida; Poales; Poaceae.